This 400-nucleotide ribosomal RNA is filed under the name uncultured bacterium. RNAcentral describes it as "bacterial SSU rRNA". It matches the Rfam family "Bacterial small subunit ribosomal RNA", at positions 355 to 747 of the family's 1533-position model. The record is from RNAcentral.
UGGGGAAUAUUGCACAAUGGGCGAAAGCCUGAUGCAGCGACGCCGCGUGGAGGAUGAAGGUUUUCGGAUUGUAAACUCCUGUUAAGUGGGAAGAAAGACUUUGACCUAAUACGUCAGAGGGAUGACGGUACCACUAGAGAAAGCACCGGCAAACUUCGUGCCAGCAGCCGCGGUAAUACGAAGGGUGCAAGCGUUAUUCGGAAUCACUGGGCGUAAAGAGCGUGUAGGCGGUUUCUUAAGUCGACUGUUAAAGCACCAAGCUUAACUUGGUAAAGGCAGGCGAAACUGGGAGGCUAGAGUGCAAGAGAGAGAAGUGGAAUUGUCGGAGUAGCGGUAAAAUGCGUAGAUCUCGACAGGAACACCGGUUGCGAAGGCGGCUUCUUGGCUUGUUACUGACGCU